RNAcentral lists this ribosomal RNA (497 nucleotides) under uncultured bacterium. RNAcentral's name for it is "partial 16S ribosomal RNA". It matches the Rfam family "Bacterial small subunit ribosomal RNA", at positions 28 to 507 of the family's 1533-position model. The record is from RNAcentral.
GAUGAACGCUGGCGGCGUGCCUAAUACAUGCCUGUCGAGCGAACAGACGAGGAGCUUGCUCCUCUGACGUUAGCGGCGGACGGGUGAGUAACACGUGGAUAACCUACCUAUAAGACUGGGAUAACUUCGGGAAACCGGAGCUAAUACCGGAUAAUAUAUUGAACCGCAUGGUUCAAUAGUGAAAGACGGUUUUGCUGUCACUUAUAGAUGGAUCCGCGCCGCAUUAGCUAGUUGGUAAGGUAACGGCUUACCAAGGCAACGAUGCGUAGCCGACCUGAGAGGGUGAUCGGCCACACUGGAACUGAGACACGGUCCAGACUCCUACGGGAGGCAGCAGUAGGGAAUCUUCCGCAAUGGGCGAAAGCCUGACGGAGCAACGCCGCGUGAGUGAUGAAGGUCUUCGGAUCGUAAAACUCUGUUAUUAGGGAAGAACAAAUGUGUAAGUAACUAUGCACGUCUUGACGGUACCUAAUCAGAAAGCCACGGCUAACUACGUG